RNAcentral lists this ribosomal RNA (497 nucleotides) under uncultured bacterium. RNAcentral describes it as "partial 16S ribosomal RNA". It matches the Rfam family "Bacterial small subunit ribosomal RNA", at positions 28 to 507 of the family's 1533-position model. The record is from RNAcentral.
GAUGAACGCUGGCGGCGUGCCUAAUACAUGCAAGUCGAGCGAACGGACGAGAAGCUUGCUUCUCUGAUGUUAGCGGCGGACGGGUGAGUAACACGUGGAUAACCUACCUAUAAGACUGGGAUAACUUCGGGAAACCGGAGCUCAUACCGGAUAAUAUUUUGAACCGCAUGGUUCAAAAGUGAAAGACGGUCUUGCUGUCACUUAUAGAUGGAUCCGCGCUGCAUUAGCUAGUUGGUAAGGUAACGGCUUACCAAGGCAACGAUGCAUAGCCGACCUGAGAGGGUGAUCGGCCACACUGGAACUGAGACACGGUCCAGACUCCUACGGGAGGCAGCAGUAGGGAAUCUUCCGCAAUGGGCGAAAGCCUGACGGAGCAACGCCGCGUGAGUGAUGAAGGUCUUCGGAUCGUAAAACUCUGUUAUUAGGGAAGAACAUAUGUGUAAGUAACUGUGCACAUCUUGACGGUACCGAAUCAGAAAGCCACGGCUAACUACGUG